AGCGAACGCUGGCGGCAGGCUUAACACAUGCAAGUCGAGCGGGCGUAGCAAUACGUCAGCGGCAGACGGGUGAGUAACGCGUGGGAACGUACCUUUUGGUUCGGAACAACCCAGGGAAACUUGGGCUAAUACCGGAUAAGCCCUUACGGGGAAAGAUUUAUCGCCAAAAGAUCGGCCCGCGUCUGAUUAGCUAGUUGGUGAGGUAACGGCUCACCAAGGCGACGAUCAGUAGCUGGUCUGAGAGGAUGAUCAGCCACAUUGGGACUGAGACACGGCCCAAACUCCUACGGGAGGCAGCAGUGGGGAAUAUUGGACAAUGGGCGCAAGCCUGAUCCAGCCAUGCCGCGUGAGGGAUGACGGCCU
RNAcentral lists this ribosomal RNA (363 nucleotides) under uncultured bacterium. RNAcentral's name for it is "bacterial SSU rRNA". It matches the Rfam family "Bacterial small subunit ribosomal RNA", at positions 29 to 417 of the family's 1533-position model. The record is from RNAcentral.